Molecule: unclassified non-coding RNA, 320 nt
Filed under: uncultured fungus
Lineage: Eukaryota; Fungi
Description: sequence contains ITS2
Rfam family: 5.8S ribosomal RNA (bases 1-52)
Source: RNAcentral
AACGCAUCUUGCGCUUGCUGGUAUUCCGGCAAGCAUGCCUGUUUGAGUGUCAUGAAACUUAUCAACCGUGACUUGGGUUUAGGCCCCUGGCUCGGCUUGGAUUUGGGUGCUUGCGGCCUCGUGCUGCUCACCUUAAAAGGAUUAGCUGGACAUGUCGUGAGACUUGGUUCUACUUGGCGUAAUAAGUAUCUCGCUGAGGACAUCCCCUCGUGGGGUGGCCAAGACUCUAGUGCAAACGUCUGCUUUCUAACCCGAUCGUCCUCGGACAUCACUUUUUAUGAUCUGGCCUCAAAUCAGGUAGGACUACCCGCUGAACUUAA